This 2601-nucleotide long non-coding RNA is filed under the name Mus musculus (house mouse). RNAcentral's name for it is "long non-coding RNA chr11:75532206-75534807". The record is from RNAcentral. Lineage: Eukaryota; Metazoa; Chordata; Mammalia; Rodentia; Muridae.
AGGUGAGCCUCUGCUCAGGUGACCUUACUACGAGCUGCCUCCCUUUCCGGCCCCCAAAGUGGCUGUUCAGUCUUGCUUGGGAUCAGGACCCGCUCCACGUCCUUGAGCAUAAUUAGCCCUUUUCCAGCUGCCAUGCCUCAGUUUACCUCCGAGUGAACUAAGGGAGAAGCCUUUCCUCUUGGCCAGCGGGGCUCCACUGUGGCCUAAGGUAGCGUUACCAGGUAGCUGCGGGUACGGGGUGGCCCAGGUCCCUGACAGGGCUAGGGUUCUUUUCUUUUGCGGCGGGCACCUAUAGCCUGGGCUGCAAGGGACUGACAGGCUGUGCGCCAGCGGCUACACGGGUUGGGUAGAGCCACCGCUGAAGCUGAGGUCUGCGCGCAGGUGUCUGCAGAACCGGAGCCCGACCACCGCCACACCGCACCAUGGCGCCCACCCUGGCCACUGCCCAUCGGCGCCGCUGGUGGAUGGCCUGCACCGCUGUGUUGGAAAACCUCCUUUUCUCCGCAGUCCUCCUGGGCUGGGGUUCGCUGCUCAUCAUGCUCAAGUCCGAGGGCUUUUACUCCUACCUGUGUACGAAGCCAGGUGAGAUGGGCGCCUCGGUCGGGGGCAGGUUUCUGGAGUGGGUCUUUGGGAGAGGGCGGUUGGUGGUGAAGAUGUAAGCCAGCUAUGCCUGCUUGCUGCACAGCGCCUCUAAGUGCCAAAAAGCCCAUUUGAUCCUCAUCCAGCUCUCUGGGUGCGUAUCAUUAUCAUCGUCCCUGUUUGUGGAUGGAGAAACUGAGGCUGGGACAAGUCUUCCAUUUGCCCAAGCUGUAGACUAAUAGACUAAUAGACUCCUGCGUGCAGUCAGGAACGUUGCUGGCCUUCUGGUCUUCCAGGGCCUGCAGCAUUGCUUGCCUUGCAAAAAAAAAAAAAAAAAAAAAAACAUGUGUAAGAAAGAGGAACUCUCAUAGGCCGGGGUGCAGCAGGAGAGAGGAAGUGGCUUCGCCUCCACCCGAAGGAAGGUUCAUCUAGACCUACAUGUUUUUAAGUCAGGCCAUUAUGGAGUCCCCUUAAAGGCUUGCCAAGAUAGAAUUUCUUGUCUAUUUUUGCUGCUUUAUGAUUCUCCAAAGGCCAUUUCCUCUCCUGAACUGUGAGAACAUCUCAGUGGCUUUCAAAACAUCGUAGGGAGGAAGAGGAAGGGAGACAGUGGUAGAAGGAUGCUUAGACUCUCCAGGACAGACUGCAGGCAGGCUGAGGCUGGCCCACACUACCCCCACCCUUCCUUCUGCCACUCCUGUCUUCAUACCCUGGUUGCUGUAGGGUCAUCAGUGGGGCCGAGUCAGCUGCCAUCCUCUCCCCUUCUUAGGCAUCCUUGGUAAGAACUGCUUCUUGCCUUUGUCUCUUGUCUCUGCCCCACCCCGUACCCAGGCUUGACUCUGUAGGUCACUGCUGGCAUGUCUUUUUUAUUUCUAGAGUCCUAUUCAUUUACUUUUUUACUUUAAAUUUUUUCUUACAUUUUUUUAUUCAUUUAUGGGGGCCACAGAACUGGAUGACUGACAGAGGACUGCUGUCGAUGACAGAGGACUGCUGUCGAUGACAGAGGACUGCUUUUGGUUGUUGACACUCUUUUUCCACUAUGUGAAUUUAUGAGGUCAAACUCAGGUUGACAGACUUGGUGGCAAGAGGUUCCACGCCCUGAGUGUCAUCUCUAAGAAGUGGGCUUGCUAUUUAUUUUAUUUUAUUUUCAAAAUAGGGUUUCUCUGUGUAGCCCUGUCUGUCCUGGAACUCAACCCCUAGACCAAACUUGCUUCAAACUCAAGGAUCUACCUGCCUCUGCCUCUUGAGUCCUGGGAUCAAAGUGCACCAUUAUUGCUGGGCUCUCAAGAAUUUUUUUUUCCCUGAGACAAGGUUUCUCUGUGUAGCCUUGGCUGUCCUGGAACUCACUCUGUAGACCAGGCUGGCCUCGAACUCAGAAAUCUGCCUGUCUCUGCCUCCUAAAUUCUAGGAUCAAAGGUGUGCGCCACCACUGCCCGGCUCUAAAAAUUUUUUUGUCUGUAAGGUUGUUUGGUCUUUUGUUCUUCACAAAGGAUCUUGCUAUGUAGCUGAGGCUAGCCUUUAAUUUGUAAUAAUUCCAUCUCAUUCUCCUAAGUGGUGGGCUGACAAGCCUAUACUGCCUCACCCAGCCUCUCAUUCUUAGCAGGAAGGGAAAGCCUUGGACCUGCUCCCACUGCCUGGACCCGAGUCAGUUAGUCUUCACUUCCCUUCUCUGAUCUGCCCAGAGGAUCCUUAGUGUACAGAGCUUAGCAGGAGAGGAGAAAGGUGGGAGAAAGGGAGAGACCAAAGGCCACCUGGGAGAGGGCAGAAAGCCUAUCAUUUAUAACCAACCUUUAGCCUUUAGCACUCAAAAAUGUUUCCUAAUAGCCUAAGGUUUCUUGGCAGGUCUUUCCCCACAUCAGCAAGAAAUCUUGAGAGACUGAGAGUCAGACCUUGUUCCCUGACCAAGCUUUCUCUUUUGCUUCUGGGAUGUCAGGAGAUUAAAGGCCCCUCUGAAAGGAACAGGUGGGAGUGUUGGCUCUCUUUUGUGCCUUUGUUACAGGAUACACUGGGGAUUUAAAAAAACAG